RNAcentral lists this long non-coding RNA (1062 nucleotides) under Crocodylus porosus (Australian saltwater crocodile). Its description in RNAcentral is "lncRNA (ENSCPRG00005005871.1)". The record is from RNAcentral. Lineage: Eukaryota; Metazoa; Chordata; Crocodylia; Crocodylidae.
CAGACAUGGCGCCAGGAGCCCCAGGUCAAUGUCACCGGAGAAAGGAGGCCGAUGCUCUGGAGUGGACAAGCAUUCUCACCGCCGGCGCUCCCGCUCCACCUCACUGCACAAACACAAGGGCCGGAGCAAGGCCAAGCCCUCAGCCCAGAAGGAGUCACCCCGAUCACCCAGCAACACAGGCUACAGUAGUGAUUCGGAGGGAUCAGCUUGCUCCCAUCCCUACCACAUGAUGCCAGGGGUGGAGAAGAACCAUGGGGCUCAUGCAAAAAAGGUGAAGGAGAGACACCAUCGUGGCAGGCCAAACAGCAGCUCAGAGUCACCUAUCAAGCAUUCCAGGCACAACUCAGAGAGAAAGAAGAGCGUGUCCCGGAGCACGGGCCACCGGAGCAGUUCCUGGAGCUCCAGCGGGUCCUUAUCCAAAUCCCGGUCCAGAUCCCGGGAGAAGAGAGCAGCACGGAGCAGGACUCGGUCUCCUUCACAGAAAAAAACUGCAAGCAGAGAGAAAGACAGUGAGCCCCGAAUACGCCACAGUGAUACUGAUCCCACCCGGCCCCGGCGCCGCUCCAGAAGUUAUUCCCCCAUCAGGAAGAGGAGACGUGACUCCCCCAGCUUCAUGGAGCCCAGAAGAAUUACAAGGUAGCUAUCAGAGUGCAGGGCUUCAGCCCUAGGCUCACAAGUUUUAGUCACUUACUGACAACUUGCAGGACCCUCAGAUUUCUUCUCCAAAGCCCUCUUUGCUUCUCUGCAAAGCCAGAUGUUGAUAGACAGAUAGAUAGCCAGACAGAUAGACAGGCAGACUGCUAACAGUAUUACCAGUUCAGCUCUUCCAAUCUGUAAAAGGAAAUAUGUAUUUAUUUGAGGUGUAUUUCUGUGUCAGAGGGGGGGAAAAGCCAACUGUCUUUCUCCCUCUGCUCUCCAAAUGAAAUCCUGGUGCACACAGUCAAUGUCCAUGAAGCCCCUUUAGGCUGAUCAGAAAGUAUUUGCAGGUUCAGGGUGACAAGACAAGUGAAAUACAGUUACACUAAAAUGGAAGCCACGUGGUAACCCUGUGGCAUGUGGACA